UGGCUCCUACGGGGCGCAGCAGUCGGGAAUAUUGCGCAAUGGAGGAAACUCUGACGCAGUGACGCCGCGUAUAGGAAGAAGGUUUUCGGUUUGUAAACUAUUGUCGUUCGGGAAGAUAAAAGACUGUACCUAAGGAGGAAGCCCCGGCUAACUAUGUGCCAGCAGCCGCGGUAAUACAUAGGGGGCAAGCGUUAUCCGGAAUUAUUGGGUGUAAAGGGUGCGUAGACGGAAGAACAAGUUGGUUGU
RNAcentral lists this ribosomal RNA (246 nucleotides) under uncultured bacterium. RNAcentral describes it as "partial 16S ribosomal RNA". It matches the Rfam family "Bacterial small subunit ribosomal RNA", at positions 333 to 595 of the family's 1533-position model. The record is from RNAcentral.